RNAcentral lists this ribosomal RNA (522 nucleotides) under uncultured Bacteroidota bacterium. RNAcentral describes it as "bacterial SSU rRNA". It matches the Rfam family "Bacterial small subunit ribosomal RNA", at positions 56 to 549 of the family's 1533-position model. Lineage: Bacteria; Pseudomonadati; Bacteroidota. The record is from RNAcentral.
UGCAAGUCGAACGCUUUUUCUUCACCGGGUGCUUGCACCCACCGAAGAUCAAGAGUGGCGGACGGGUGAGUAACACGUGGGUAACCUACCUACAAGCGGGGGAUAACAUUCGGAAACGGAUGCUAAUACCGCAUAGAUCUUUUUGUCUCCUGAUAGAAAGAAGAAAGACGGUUUCGGCUGUCACUUGUAGAUGGACCCGCGGCGCAUUAGUUAGUUGGUGAGGUAAUGGCUCACCAAGACGAUGAUGCGUAGCCGACCUGAGAGGGUGAUCGGCCACACUGGGACUGAGACACGGCCCAGACUCCUACGGGAGGCAGCAGUAGGGAAUCUUCCGCAAUGGACGAAAGUCUGACGGAGCAACGCCGCGUGAGUGAAGAAGGUUUUCGGAUCGUAAAACCCUGUUGUUAGAGAAGAACAAGGAUGAGAGUAACUGCUCGUCCCUUGACGGUAUCUAACCAGAAAGCCAUGGCUAACUACGUGCCAGCAGCCGCGGUAAUACGUAGAUGGCAAGCGUUGUCCGGA